AGCAGCCGCGGUAAUUCCAGCUCCAAUAGCGUAUAUUAAAGUUGUUGCAGUUAAAAAGCUCGUAGUUGAAUUUCGGGAUCAAUUCGUCGGUCGUGCUUUUUGUACGUACUGGUGUUAUUGGUUUCUCCUUUCUGACGAACCAUGAUGUCAUUAAUUUGGUGUUAUGGGGAGUUAGGACUGUUACUUUGAAAAAAUUAGAGUGUUUAAAGCAGGCAUUAGCUUGAAUACAUUAGCAUGGAAUAAUGAAAUAGGACGUUCGAUCCUAUUUUGUUGGUUUCUAGGAUCAACGUAAUGAUUAAUAGGGAUAGUUGGGGGCAUUAGUAUUCAAUUGUCAGAGGUGAAAUUCUUGGAUUUAUUGAAGACUAACUACUGCGAAAGCAUUUGCCAAGGAUGUUUUCAUUAAUCAAGAACGAAAGUUAGGGGAUCGAAGACGAUCAGAUACCGUCGUAGUCUUAACCAUAAACUAUGCCGACUAGGGAUCGGAUGAUGUUAAUUUUUUAAUGACUCAUUCGGCGCCUUA
RNAcentral lists this ribosomal RNA (520 nucleotides) under uncultured Glomus. RNAcentral's name for it is "SSU rRNA". It matches the Rfam family "Eukaryotic small subunit ribosomal RNA", at positions 569 to 1090 of the family's 1831-position model. The record is from RNAcentral. Lineage: Eukaryota; Fungi; Glomeromycota; Glomeromycetes; Glomerales; Glomeraceae.